UACGUAGGGUCCGAGCGUUGUCCGGAUUUAUUGGGCGUAAAGAGCUCGUAGGCGGUUUGUCGCGUCUGCUGUGAAAUCCCGAGGCUCAACCUCGGGUCUGCAGUGGGUACGGGCAGACUAGAGUGCGGUAGGGGAGAUUGGAAUUCCUGGUGUAGCGGUGGAAUGCGCAGAUAUCAGGAGGAACACCAAUGGCGAAGGCAGAUCUCUGGGCCGUAACUGACGCUGAGGAGCGAAAGCUAGGGGAGCGAACAGG
RNAcentral lists this ribosomal RNA (253 nucleotides) under uncultured bacterium. RNAcentral describes it as "partial 16S ribosomal RNA". It matches the Rfam family "Bacterial small subunit ribosomal RNA", at positions 524 to 776 of the family's 1533-position model. The record is from RNAcentral.